AUACAAAUAUAAAAAGUACAAUGAAGAUAAUCUUUUUCUCAUUUAUUUUAAUAGUAAUUCCUGAGUUUGUAACACAAGUGAAUGUCGCCCUGGAAGCCUUGAGCAAGAACUCAUUAAAUGUAUUUGAUGACAAUCAGUUUGUGGACAUCUCAAAGAAGAUCUAUGAUAUAAUUCAUGAUAUCAGAUGUUCAGUCAUGAUGAUUCGGAUGUGAAGCAAAGAGAAAAACGUCCUUCUGUUUAAAAUAAAGUUCCCAGCAGAAACUGAGAAGAUCAAGCAGAG
This 280-nucleotide long non-coding RNA is filed under the name Fukomys damarensis (Damara mole-rat). RNAcentral describes it as "lncRNA (ENSFDAG00000023025.1)". The record is from RNAcentral. Lineage: Eukaryota; Metazoa; Chordata; Mammalia; Rodentia; Bathyergidae.